Non-coding RNA from Marasmius tenuissimus, 93 nucleotides. The record is from the annotation of a GenBank genome assembly. NCBI's taxonomy places the organism in Eukaryota, Fungi, Basidiomycota, Agaricomycetes, Agaricales, Marasmiaceae.
ACACCGUUGGUGAAGUGGUUAUCAUGCUUGCCUUCCAUAGAGUUAGGCUUAGGGUGCAAGCAAGCGGCUCGGGUUCGAUUCCCGAACGGUGUA